AAUAGAUACCCCGGUAGUCCACGCCGUAAACGAUGAGUGCUAAGUGUUAGAGGGUUUCCGCCCUUUAGUGCUGCAGCUAACGCAUUAAGCACUCCGCCUGGGGAGUACGGCCGCAAGGCUGAAACUCAAAGGAAUUGACGGGGGCCCGCACAAGCGGUGGAGCAUGUGGUUUAAUUCGAAGCAACGCGAAGAACCUUACCAGGUCUUGACAUCCUCUGCCAACCCUAGAGAUAGGGCAUUCCCCUUCGGGGGACAGAGUGACAGGUGGUGCAUGGUUGUCGUCAGCUCGUGUCGUGAGAUGUUGGGUUAAGUCCCGCAACGAGCGCAACCCUUGAUCUUAGUUGCCAGCAUUCAGUUGGGCACUCUAAGGUGACUGCCGGUGACAAACCGGAGGAAGGUGGGGAUGACGUCAAAUCAUCAUGCCCCUUAUGACCUGGGCUACACACGUGCUACAAUGGAUGGUACAAAGAGCUGCGAACCCGCGAGGGUAAGCGAAUCUCAUAAAGCCAUUCUCAAUUCGGAUUGU
Molecule: ribosomal RNA, 526 nt
Filed under: uncultured bacterium
Lineage: Bacteria
Description: bacterial SSU rRNA
Rfam family: Bacterial small subunit ribosomal RNA
Source: RNAcentral